RNAcentral lists this long non-coding RNA (243 nucleotides) under Homo sapiens (human). Its description in RNAcentral is "non-protein coding lnc-SRPK1-1:1". Lineage: Eukaryota; Metazoa; Chordata; Mammalia; Primates; Hominidae. The record is from RNAcentral.
GAUCCUGAUCCUCCUGCUUGUCGCCCUCUCUGUGGCCUAUGCAGCUCCUGGCCCCCGGGGGAUCAUUAUCAACCUACGCUCUAUGGGAUUUACUACAAGUGUCCCUGUGAGCGUGGCCUGACCUGUGAGGGAGACAAGACCAUCGUGGGCUCCAUCACCAACACCAACUUUGGCAUCUGCCAUGACGCUGGACGCUCCAAGCAGUGAGACUGCCCACCCACUCCCACACCUAGCCCAGAAUGC